RNAcentral lists this ribosomal RNA (636 nucleotides) under Triticum aestivum (bread wheat). RNAcentral describes it as "partial small subunit ribosomal RNA". Lineage: Eukaryota; Viridiplantae; Streptophyta; Magnoliopsida; Poales; Poaceae. The record is from RNAcentral.
AUGAGCUGUUCCGCGUGCUCUUGGACCUCCACCGCUGCCUCGACGCCUUCAGCGAGUACCGCGACCGAGCCAAGGGCCUCGUCCAGGCGGCCGCCACGGCCCCGCCGCCUCCCGCCACGACAAGCUGUUCCGCGCCAUGCGCGUGGUCGACAAAGAUCUCUGGGCCGCCGCUGCCGGCUGGGAGAAGAAUCGCCCUCCGACCACGCCGCUGGCAGCCGAGGACAAAUAGCCCAAUCGAUCUACCUCGUCUCCUAUUCAGGUGAUGUUUAUCAUUCUUGUUUUUUUCAUGUGAUGUUCAUCGUUCCUCUUAUUUUCUCGGUUGAUGUGCUAAUCAUGUUAGUCAAAGAUGAAUGUAACUGUGACGGGAAAGGAGAGAUGGACCGGGAUAUUUUGCCUCGGUGUGUCGCAUGGUGGCCGAGAUGCGGCAGCCCCAUGCUCUGUUCUGAUGGGCCUCCUCUGCUCGAUGGUUGCCGCUGGUUGAGGUUCGUCCUUCUCUGGUUCGGAUGUUCUUCGCCACUGUUUUGGAUUCGUCCUGCUAAUUUCGCAUGUUUGCCUUCGUUUCAUUCAUGCGCAGUUUGGUACAGUUUCCUGUUGUCGCUUGCAUCGAGCCCGGGGUCCAUCUCUCCUUCUCAUUGA